Suricata suricatta (meerkat) is the source of this 1060-nucleotide long non-coding RNA. RefSeq lists it as uncharacterized. The record is from RefSeq and is a predicted model, not a curated record. The transcript has 4 exons. NCBI's taxonomy places the organism in Eukaryota, Metazoa, Chordata, Mammalia, Carnivora, Herpestidae.
CCUGCUUUCCACAGCGCCUCUCGGCUCUCUGUCCCUCUGCCUGGAACUCUCUGCUCUCCUGGCUCUUUUCCUGUUUGCCUUCUUUCCCUUCUGGCUCAGCUUGAAAGUCACCUUCUCAGAAAAGCCUUUCUGAGCACGGGGGCUUCCAGCUAGUCAACGUUCACUCUGUCACAUUUCCUUCUCAAAGUCGUGUGUUCUCCUGGGGAUAAGACAUCCAGGAAGUGGGAAGAGAAAGGAGUGUCCCUUUGGGGCACAGCAUUGUUCUACCUGUUCCGUGUUUCCUUCUACUUCCCUAUCAAUCAUAUGGAAUCUUCCAAAGUAAUCUUCUGAAUGGAUGGAAAUACAGUGUUGAAUAUGUUAUAAAAGUCUCUCUGCAGUAUCAGCUCUCAUCUUGGAAAGGGGAGGCUAUACAGGGGAAUGCACAAAAUUCCUUGGAAGUCUGGAUGCUGCAGCUGAAACCCACCUCUGAAUGGAAGCAUGUCCACCUAGGGAACUGAAAGAAGGCCAGAGAAAGAAAUGACCAAGGAAAGUGGGAGAAGACGCCCCUGAAUGCAAAUUUAAUGGUUCUCCACUGAGUUUCAUUUUUGGCAAUUCAAACCUCCUUCCCCAUAAUCCCUUGUUGCAUACAUUUUAAGGCUUCAAGGUGUGCUGCAGGUUCUUCAUUAACCUGUCAGAUUCCAAUCCAUUCUCCACCUUCCUCCAUCCUCUGUGCAGCAGGAACCGGUCUCUGCAGACCACUUCAGCCAGGCUCCCUGCCAUCCAACUUCUGGCUGGUUCUGCCACUCUGAGGAAGGAGCAGAAGACCUGCAUCUCCCACAUGACCCUGGCUGUUUCUCUGUCAAAACCCACAGGUCCUGCCUAGUGGCCUUUGCCAGGACUCCUGCUCUCACCUCCUUAGUAACCUCCCUCAUCUACUGUCCCACUGGAUGAGGUGCAGCAACAGCUCUUCAGCAGCCCUUUUUGAGUUCCCUCAAGCCUGUCCAAAAAAGAUGUGGUCCCUUCUUGGGGCGCCUGGGUGGCUCAGUCGGUUAAGCGUCCAGCUUCGGCUCAGGUCAUGAUC